Long non-coding RNA from Patella vulgata (common limpet), 1015 nucleotides. RefSeq lists it as uncharacterized. The transcript is spliced from 4 exons. Lineage: Eukaryota; Metazoa; Mollusca; Gastropoda; Patellidae. The record is from RefSeq and is a predicted model, not a curated record.
GUUCAUUUUAUUCAGAGAAGCAUUUAACGUUGGUUUUUCUAAUUAUAACAGAUUUAAGUUAAAAAUAGACCCUGUGUUGUUAGUCAAAAAGAUGGAUAUUGUGAUAUUGUCAGCAGGAAAAUGGAAAGUUUAACUAUUGUUUGACAGUGGUUUAUAUAUUUCAUAACAGUCUAGAAAAGUACAACAGUUAAAGUGGAUGAAUCCUGAUGAUAUGGGAGGUUAAACAAGAUGAAUCCUGAUGAUAUGGGAGGUUCAACAAGAUGAAUCCUGAUGAUAUGGGAGGUUAAACAAGAUGAAUCCUGAUGAUAUGGGAGGUUCAACAAGAUGAAUCCUGAUGAUAUGGGAGGUUAAACAAGGUGAAUCCUGAAGAUAUGGGAGGUUAAACAAGAUGAAUCCUGAUGAUAUGGGAGGUUAAACAAGAUGAAUCCUGAUGAUAUGGGAGUUAAACAAGAUGAAUCCUGAUGAUAUGGGAGAUUAAACGAGAUGAAUCCUGAAGAUAUAGGGGAGAGGUUGAACGAGAUGAAUCCUGAUGAUAUGGGAGAGAGGUUAAACGAGACGAAUCCAGGUGAUAUGGGAGAGAGGUUACACGAGAUGAAUACAGGGGAUAUGGGAGAGAGGGUACACGAGAUGAAUCCUGAAGAUAUGGGAGACAGGUUAAACGAGAAUGUUGAAUUAAUGUUGAAUUAUAUCAGAUUUGACGAAAUUGUUCAAAUAGCUGCCCACCAAAGACGUCGUAUAUCAGAUAUACAGGCAACAUUGUCACCCCAGGAAAGGAAUGAAACUAUAAUUACAGCUGCUAUAUGUAGUUGUUAUAAACUUGUUACACAUCUGAUAGAUCAUUGUGUUGAUAUACCGUUAGAGUAUAAAGAUGGUGAACAUAACAAUCUAUUACACUUAGUUUUAGAUAGUUACCGAUCAUACCUCGAUCAAGAUGAAAGGGAUGACUUGUUACAGUGUGUAAUUAAAUUGGUUCAAGCUGGUGUAGAUGUAAACCAUAUGAAUGAAGACCAACAAA